AUCCCACGCACUCUCUUUUCCACUCUCUGUGAAAACCCACUUAUUUUUGCGCUUCUUUUCUUGGAGAGGCCUUCAUACUCCAAAUUCACGCUUUCUCUUUCUAUCCCAAGUUGGGUCCUUACUAUAACCUCCUCUCUUUCUAGCAAUCCAUGAAGCAGUUGAUCCGCCGCCUCUCACGAGUCGCCGACUCCUCUCAGUACAGCCUUCUGCGUUCUGACUCGCAAUCCCGCAGAUGUUCAGCGGCCUCGAGAUCGACGCACCGAGCGGAGUCUUUUCGUUGCUUAGUUAAGCCGGCCAGGAGAGCUGGUGGAGGCAAGUCAUCGGUGCCUGAAGGUCAUGUGCCUGUGUACGUCGGAGACGAGAUGGAGCGGUUUGUGGUGAGCGCGGAGCUACUUAACCACCCGAUCUUCAUCGGACUUCUUAACAAGUCUGCUCAGGAAUAUGGCUACGACCAAAAA
RNAcentral lists this unclassified non-coding RNA (458 nucleotides) under Hevea brasiliensis (rubber tree). The record is from RNAcentral. Lineage: Eukaryota; Viridiplantae; Streptophyta; Magnoliopsida; Malpighiales; Euphorbiaceae.